Molecule: ribosomal RNA, 483 nt
Filed under: uncultured bacterium
Lineage: Bacteria
Description: partial 16S ribosomal RNA
Rfam family: Bacterial small subunit ribosomal RNA
Source: RNAcentral
AUUGAACGCUGGCGGCAUGCUUUACACAUGCAAGUCGAACGGCAGCGCGGGCUUCGGCCUGGCGGCGAGUGGCGAACGGGUGAGUAAUACAUCGGAACGUGCCCAGUAGUGGGGGAUAGCUCGGCGAAAGCCGGAUUAAUACCGCAUACGACCUGAGGGUGAAAGCGGGGGAUCUUCGGACCUCGCGCUAUUGGAGCGGCCGAUGGCAGAUUAGCUAGUUGGUGGGGUAAAGGCCUACCAAGGCGACGAUCUGUAGCUGGUCUGAGAGGACGACCAGCCACACUGGGACUGAGACACGGCCCAGACUCCUACGGGAGGCAGCAGUGGGGAAUUUUGGACAAUGGGCGAAAGCCUGAGCCAGCAAUGCCGCGUGUGUGAUGAAGGCCUUCGGGUUGUAAAGCACUUUUGGCGGGAACGAAAAGGACUGUGCCAAUACCACGGUUCGAUGACGGUACCCGCAGAAUAAGCACCGGCUAACUACGU